Molecule: unclassified non-coding RNA, 168 nt
Filed under: soil metagenome
Description: partial internal transcribed spacer 1
Source: RNAcentral
CAGAGUUGCAAGACUCCCUAAACCAUUGUGAACCUUACCUUCUACCGUUGCUUCGGCGGGCGGCCCGGGUCCUGCCCGGCGCCCCUCGGCCCUCGCGGGCACCCGCCGGAGGUAAACCAAACUAUUGCAUUGUAUGGCCUCUCUGAGUCUUCUGUACUGAAUAAGUCA